Molecule: ribosomal RNA, 1487 nt
Filed under: Salmonella enterica
Lineage: Bacteria; Pseudomonadati; Pseudomonadota; Gammaproteobacteria; Enterobacterales; Enterobacteriaceae
Description: partial 23S ribosomal RNA
Rfam family: Bacterial large subunit ribosomal RNA
Source: RNAcentral
CGUACACGGUGGAUGCCCUGGCAGUCAGAGGCGAUGAAGGACGUGCUAAUCUGCGAUAAGCGCCGGUAAGGUGAUAUGAACCGUUAUAACCGGCGAUUUCCGAAUGGGGAAACCCAGUGUGACUCGUCACACUAUCAUUAACUGAAUCCAUAGGUUAAUGAGGCGAACCGGGGGAACUGAAACAUCUAAGUACCCCGAGGAAAAGAAAUCAACCGAGAUUCCCCCAGUAGCGGCGAGCGAACGGGGAGGAGCCCAGAGCCUGAAUCAGCAUGUGUGUUAGUGGAAGCGUCUGGAAAGGCGCGCGAUACAGGGUGACAGCCCCGUACACAAAAGCGCAUGUGCUGUGAGCUCGAUGAGUAGGGCGGGACACGUGGUAUCCUGUCUGAAUAUGGGGGGACCAUCCUCCAAGGCUAAAUACUCCUGACUGACCGAUAGUGAACCAGUACCGUGAGGGAAAGGCGAAAAGAACCCCGGCGAGGGGAGUGAAAAAGAACCUGAAACCGUGUACGUACAAGCAGUGGGAGCACCCUUCGGGGUGUGACUGCGUACCUUUUGUAUAAUGGGUCAGCGACUUAUAUUCUGUAGCAAGGUUAACCGUAUAGGGGAGCCGUAGGGAAACCGAGUCUUAACCGGGCGUUAAGUUGCAGGGUAUAGACCCGAAACCCGGUGAUCUAGCCAUGGGCAGGUUGAAGGUUGGGUAACACUAACUGGAGGACCGAACCGACUAAUGUUGAAAAAUUAGCGGAUGACCUGUGGCUGGGGGUGAAAGGCCAAUCAAACCGGGAGAUAGCUGGUUCUCCCCGAAAGCUAUUUAGGUAGCGCCUCGUGAAUUCAUCUCCGGGGGUAGAGCACUGUUUCGGCUAGGGGGCCAUCCCGGCUUACCAACCCGAUGCAAACUGCGAAUACCGGAGAAUGUUAUCACGGGAGACACACGGCGGGUGCUAACGUCCGUCGUGAAGAGGGAAACAACCCAGACCGCCAGCUAAGGUCCCAAAGUCAUAGUUAAGUGGGAAACGAUGUGGGAAGGCCCAGACAGCCAGGAUGUUGGCUUAGAAGCAGCCAUCAUUUAAAGAAAGCGUAAUAGCUCACUGGUCGAGUCGGCCUGCGCGGAAGAUGUAACGGGGCUAAACUAUGCACCGAAGCUGCGGCAGCGACACUAUGUGUUGUUGGGUAGGGGAGCGUUCUGUAAGCCUGUGAAGGUGUGUCGUGAGGCAUGCUGGAGGUAUCAGAAGUGCGAAUGCUGACAUAAGUAACGAUAAAGCGGGUGAAAAGCCCGCUCGCCGGAAGACCAAGGGUUCCUGUCCAACGUUAAUCGGGGCAGGGUGAGUCGACCCCUAAGGCGAGGCCGAAAGGCGUAGUCGAUGGGAAACGGGUUAAUAUUCCCGUACUUGGUGUUACUGCGAAGGGGGGACGGAGAAGGCUAUGUUGGCCGGGCGACGGUUGUCCCGGUUUAAGCGUGUAGGUGUGUGUUCCAGGUAAAUCCGGUU